This 882-nucleotide ribosomal RNA is filed under the name Stropharia aeruginosa. RNAcentral describes it as "partial large subunit ribosomal RNA". It matches the Rfam family "Eukaryotic large subunit ribosomal RNA", at positions 72 to 939 of the family's 3401-position model. The record is from RNAcentral. Lineage: Eukaryota; Fungi; Basidiomycota; Agaricomycetes; Agaricales; Strophariaceae.
GGAUUCCCCUAGUAACUGCGAGUGAAGCGGGAAAAGCUCAAAUUUAAAAUCUGGCAGUCUUUGGCUGUCCGAGUUGUAAUCUAGAGAAGUGUUAUCCGCGCUGGACCGUGUACAAGUCUCCUGGAAUGGAGCGUCAUAGAGGGUGAGAAUCCCGUCUUUGACACGGACUGCCAGGGCUUUGUGAUGCGCUCUCAAAGAGUCGAGUUGUUUGGGAAUGCAGCUCAAAAUGGGUGGUAAAUUCCAUCUAAAGCUAAAUAUUGGCGAGAGACCGAUAGCGAACAAGUACCGUGAGGGAAAGAUGAAAAGAACUUUGGAAAGAGAGUUAAACAGUACGUGAAAUUGCUGAAAGGGAAACGCUUGAAGUCAGUCGCAUUGGCUGAGAAUCAACCUUGCUUUUGCUGGGUGUACUUCUUAGUUAAUGGGUCAACAUCAAUUUUGACUGUUGGAUAAAGUCUGAAGGAAUGUGGCAUCUUCGGAUGUGUUAUAGCCUUUAGUUGCAUACAACAGUUGGGAUUGAGGAACUCAGCACGCCGCAAGGCCGGGUACUUGUACCACGUUCGUGCUUAGGAUGUUGGCAUAAUGGCUUUAAUCGACCCGUCUUGAAACACGGACCAAGGAGUCUAACAUGCCUGCGAGUAUUUGGGUGGAAAACCCGAGUGCGUAAUGAAAGUGAAAGUUGAGAUCCCUGUCAUGGGGAGCAUCGACGCCCGGACCAGACCUUUUGUGACGGAUCUGCGGUAGAGCAUGUAUGUUGGGACCCGAAAGAUGGUGAACUAUGCCUGAAUAGGGUGAAGCCAGAGGAAACUCUGGUGGAGGCUCGUAGCGAUUCUGACGUGCAAAUCGAUCGUCAAAUUUGGGUAUAGGGGCGAAAGACUAAUCGAA